Molecule: long non-coding RNA, 690 nt
Organism: Clupea harengus (Atlantic herring)
Lineage: Eukaryota; Metazoa; Chordata; Actinopteri; Clupeiformes; Clupeidae
Source: Ensembl
GCAGCGACUAUUUAUUAUUUGUGAGGCUUCUUGGAGGUUAUUUUUGUUUUCUCUUCUGUUUUGACGACAACCACCAUUGUUUUUUUGUAAAUAAACCAGUUAUAUCUACCCACAACUGAGAGUCUGGCGUUUUAUGAUACGGACCUUUGGUUUUUCGGGUCUGCCGUAACAGUGAGGAUGAGGAGGCACUCUGUCAGGUGUGUGUGUGUGUGUGAGGAGGGCACUCUGUCAGGUGUGUGUGUGUGAGGAGGGCACUCUGUCAGGUGUGUGUGUGUGUGUGUGUGUGUGUGAGGGUGUGAAGGGCACUCUGUCAGGUGUGUGUGAGGGUGAUGAGGGCACUCUGUCAAGUGUGUGUGUGAGGGUGAGGAGGGCACUCUGUCAGGUGUGUGUGUGUGUGUGUGUGUGUGAGGGUGUGAAGGGCACUCUGUCAGGUGUGUGUGAGGGUGAUGAGGGCACUCUGUCAGGUGUGUGUGAGGAGGGUGUGAAGGGCACUCUGUCAGGUGUGUGUGUGUGUGAGGGUGAUGAGGGCACUCUGUCAGGUGUGUGUGUGUGUGUGUGAGGAGGGCACUCUGACAGGUGUGUGUGUGUGUGUGUGAGGAGGGCACUCUGUCAGGUGUGUGUGUGUGUGAGGAUGAGGAGGGCACUCUGUCAGGUGUGUGUGUGAGGGUGAGGAGGGCACUCUGUCAGGUG